CGGCCACUAAUGCAAUAGAGGAAGGCCGCUGCAACCCGGCUCGGAAGUUUCCGGUCGCACGUUUCGGGCAACGCCGGCCGAAUGUUUCGUACGACUUCGUCCUGUGUCUCACAGAUGAUGCUGGUUGCAAGAGUGUGACCGGUCUCAACGUCUCACUAUACGUCGUCUGCUGGGAACGCAUUAUGCGACGAUCGCUACGGGUGACACUAUCGCCUUCGCGUGACGUAGUACUCAAUCAGCUCAUCUGAUUUUGCGCAACCAGCCAAUCAGCGCAAGCCUGACGGCGAUACUCUCGCGCAGGCGAAGCUAUCGCAGGAAGUGAUCGUCGCAGAAUACGCCGCCAAAACAUCUUAGAAACCACCUUCGCGCGCCACAUAUAUGCGUCCCGUCGAACUGGAACAUUGCAGAAAUUACUUAAACAAUGGUUGACGGCAGCUAAUCGUUGUGCACGCGGCAUCUCGUCUCUCAGCCAACUACGCUCGUGAAAAAGUCAGACCUUUUGUGGGGCCUACAUUCUAUUGGGGACAGCCUUCGUAGACUGAGUGAAAUGUCCAACUGGAAUAUCUAAACCACAAGGUCAGGGGGCGAGUGCCACCGCUUCAGAUGCAGGCUGGGAGGUCUUGGGUCCCAGUAGCCUCUUCAGCCAGUUGGACGAGCCGGAGCUGCAGCUCAGAGUCCGGGCUGCGCAGCAGAGUCUCCCAGAUGGAUGCUCCUGCAGUACAGGCGAAACCGUCCUGCUGUUCGAUGUUGGAGGUGCGGCCUCCGUUUCAGCGCGACCCAAAUGCACAAUAAAUGCACACGUUUUUUUCACGCAUCAUGAGAAA
Dermacentor albipictus is the source of this 824-nucleotide long non-coding RNA. RefSeq lists it as uncharacterized. The record is from RefSeq and is a predicted model, not a curated record. Lineage: Eukaryota; Metazoa; Arthropoda; Arachnida; Ixodida; Ixodidae.